AAAGUCCGUGCUGAACAGAACUCUCUGCCACCCAAAACAGAGCUCUCCUCCACAACAUCAAAGGACUUUUGUGCCCAAGGGUUUGUUCCGUGCAGACCACAGAGCACAAAGGCUCAUGAUUAUAGAACCGACCAGGCCGUAACAUUCUGGAGUGAAAACCACCAGAGGAUACAGGGCGUGACACCCGUCCAGACGGUGAAAGCUCCUUUCAGGAAGUCGACACUUUUCAGCACGCCCAUAACUGAACGAAUGGAUGAGCCUGAUCCUCCCUCUGACAUCUGAGCAUCACUUCAUCACCAGCUGUUGUUAAACAGGAGGGGUCAUCUGUGGAGAAGACACAAGGAGGAUUAUCCAGCGGUGGACYUCCACUGGGCCAGUGGAUCUUCUCUCUUUGGG
Austrofundulus limnaeus is the source of this 396-nucleotide long non-coding RNA. RefSeq lists it as uncharacterized. The transcript is spliced from 4 exons. NCBI's taxonomy places the organism in Eukaryota, Metazoa, Chordata, Actinopteri, Cyprinodontiformes, Rivulidae. The record is from RefSeq and is a predicted model, not a curated record.